CUACGCACUCCUACGGGAGGCAGCAGUGGGGAAUAUUGCACAAUGGGGGAAACCCUGAUGCAGCCAUGCCGCGUGUGUGAAGAAGGCCUUCGGGUUGUAAAGCACUUUCAGUAGGGAGGAAGGUAGUGUAGUUAACACCUGCACUAUUUGACGUUACCUACAGAAGAAGCACCGGCUAACUCCGUGCCAGCAGCCGCGGUAAUACGGAGGGUGCGAGCGUUAAUCGGAAUUACUGGGCGUAAAGCGCAUGCAGGCGGCCUGUUAAGUCAGAUGUGAAAGCCCCGGGGCUUAACCUCGGAAUUGCAUUUGAAACUGGCAGGCUAGAGUCUUGUAGAGGGGGUAGAAUUUCAGGUGUAGCGGUGAAAUGCGUAGAGAUCUGAAGGAAUACCAGUGGCGAAGGCGGCCCCCUGGACAAAGACUGACGCUCAGAUGCGAAAGCGUGGGGAGCAAACAGGAUUAGAUACCCUGGUAG
RNAcentral lists this ribosomal RNA (472 nucleotides) under uncultured bacterium. Its description in RNAcentral is "bacterial SSU rRNA". It matches the Rfam family "Bacterial small subunit ribosomal RNA", at positions 329 to 793 of the family's 1533-position model. The record is from RNAcentral.